Molecule: ribosomal RNA, 910 nt
Filed under: Kocuria turfanensis
Lineage: Bacteria; Bacillati; Actinomycetota; Actinomycetes; Micrococcales; Micrococcaceae
Description: bacterial SSU rRNA
Rfam family: Bacterial small subunit ribosomal RNA
Source: RNAcentral
GGGCGUAAAGAGCUCGUAGGCGGUUUGUCGCGUCUGCUGUGAAAGCCCGGGGCUCAACCCCGGGUCUGCAGUGGGUACGGGCAGACUAGAGUGCAGUAGGGGAGACUGGAAUUCCUGGUGUAGCGGUGAAAUGCGCAGAUAUCAGGAGGAACACCGAUGGCGAAGGCAGGUCUCUGGGCUGUUACUGACGCUGAGGAGCGAAAGCAUGGGGAGCGAACAGGAUUAGAUACCCUGGUAGUCCAUGCCGUAAACGUUGGGCACUAGGUGUGGGGGGCAUUCCACGUUCUCCGCGCCGUAGCUAACGCAUUAAGUGCCCCGCCUGGGGAGUACGGCCGCAAGGCUAAAACUCAAAGGAAUUGACGGGGGCCCGCACAAGCGGCGGAGCAUGCGGAUUAAUUCGAUGCAACGCGAAGAACCUUACCAAGGCUUGACAUCCACCGGACCGCCCCAGAGAUGGGGUUUCCCUUCGGGGUCGGUGGACAGGUGGUGCAUGGUUGUCGUCAGCUCGUGUCGUGAGAUGUUGGGUUAAGUCCCGCAACGAGCGCAACCCUCGUUCUAUGUUGCCAGCACGUGAUGGUGGGGACUCAUAGGAGACUGCCGGGGUCAACUCGGAGGAAGGUGGGGAUGACGUCAAAUCAUCAUGCCCCUUAUGUCUUGGGCUUCACGCAUGCUACAAUGGCCGGUACAAAGGGUUGCGAUACUGUGAGGUGGAGCUAAUCCCAAAAAGCCGGUCUCAGUUCGGAUUGAGGUCUGCAACUCGACCUCAUGAAGUCGGAGUCGCUAGUAAUCGCAGAUCAGCAACGCUGCGGUGAAUACGUUCCCGGGCCUUGUACACACCGCCCGUCAAGUCACGAAAGUUGGUAACACCCGAAGCCGGUGGCCUAACCCCUGGGGGAGGGAGCCUCGAAGG